CCGAGUUUACAACUCCCAAACCCCUGUGAACUUAUACCUUUACUGUUGCUUCGGCGGGUCUUCGCCCCGGAACAGGCCCGAGAGGGCCGGCCCGGAACCAGGCGCCCGCCGGGGGACCCAAACUCUUGUAUUUUUACUUUGCAUGUCUGAGUGGAAUCAUACAAAAUGAAUCA
This 173-nucleotide unclassified non-coding RNA is filed under the name uncultured Pochonia. RNAcentral describes it as "sequence contains ITS1". The record is from RNAcentral. Lineage: Eukaryota; Fungi; Ascomycota; Sordariomycetes; Hypocreales; Clavicipitaceae.